CUAACGGUUUCUCUAAUUGCAAUAGGCUUUGAAAGCGAACUGCAUGGAUCCUGACCAGACUGCGCGGAUUCGCAGGCUGGUCUGGAUCCGUGCUGGUCGCAAACGCACUAUGUUGGUUUUCUCAUGGCGCGGCUCAAAUCAAGAAAUAAACUUCCCUUAUAAGGGAAUCGAACCAGGAUUAUUUCAGAAAUAAAAACGUUCCAACCAUCUUGACCAUAUACACCAAGUAGGAAUUAUAACAAUAAUUUCCUGAUAUCUUAAAAUUUUCUAAUUGUCUCCCUUUAACUAAUUUAACUGAUCUUACAAGUGUUUAUGUACCAAAUACAGUUUGGAGUUAGGAUACCAUUUCACACAUUCAUUCCUGAUUCAGCCCAUUGAAUAUAUAUAAUAUCUAUAUUAUGCAUGUCUUUAUAAUGGAAUGAAAGAAAGUUAGAGGAAUGUCAAUACAUCCUUAAACAUUUAAUCGAUCUAUUUUGUGUACUUUAAUAUGUGUAUAACAUUAUUUCUCACUAUUAAAUAGUAAAAAAAAUGAUGUUACUUGGAUGUUUUAGAAAGUGUUGUUGUUUUUAUCGUUUUUUAUUUACAAAACAUGAAUAAAUGCAUACUUAUUAUACUUGUAUGUAAAUUUUAAAACAGUAGUGGAGUCAAGAGAUACUUGAAACAGACGAAACAAAAUGGCUAACAGAAGUGGCAAAUUUUGAUAAUAUAACAAAGAUAUACUAGUAAUUGCAUUCCACAAGCGGCCAUCUUUACUUGCUCAAGACGAUCAUUGUGUAUUUAUACGUUAUUAUAUGGAGGGACAGUUCGCAGUUCUAUGGGCAAUGGUUCGAGCAUGCUGAAGUCAAAGAGGACCAAGCCUAGAGUAGUGCUUGAGUCCCCGCAAGGUUCGAGCACAGACACUUCGCAGCCUAGAGUGACGUUCGCCAAUAAACGGACCGGUAUGAAUUUAAUCAAGGCCCGUCCUCAAAUGACUGAUAUUGGAACAAUGCAUUCUGACUUGUUAAAGGGAGGACGGGUUCGAUUUCAGCGUAGCCAGUCAAAUAGACUAGGUUCGAAUAUCACCAUGAACGAUUCGUUUACUUCCAUUAGAUCAACGGCAUCUGGUCCGGUGGAUGGGGUAUGGGAGCCCAUGUUAGAUCCAUACGAACGGACAAACGAUACAAACAUGGCACGUGCAAAUAGGAUUACACAAAAUGGUGACGUUAAUUUAAACGAAAAUAGUUACUCUAGGUACAUUGGAUUUAAUGAAAGAGAUUAUAGUUAUGGAACUAGGGUUGAAAAUGGUUUGGCAAAAGUUGAAGAAAUAUGAGUCGUGUUUUACACUUACAUCUUCCUGAAAUUAUCUUGUUUUCAUGCAUCAUAUCAUUAUCUCGUUAUAAACAGAUGUAGAAUAUAUUUAGUAAAUGCAUAAAAAAAAAAAAACUGUGA
Long non-coding RNA from Mercenaria mercenaria, 1428 nucleotides. RefSeq lists it as uncharacterized. The record is from RefSeq and is a predicted model, not a curated record. The transcript has 2 exons. NCBI's taxonomy places the organism in Eukaryota, Metazoa, Mollusca, Bivalvia, Venerida, Veneridae.